AACGCGAAGAACCUUACCAGCCCUUGACAUGUCCCGUAUGGGUUUCAGAGAUGAGACCCUUCAGUUCGGCUGGCGGGAACACAGGUGCUGCAUGGCUGUCGUCAGCUCGUGUCGUGAGAUGUUGGGUUAAGUCCCGCAACGAGCGCAACCCUCGCCCUUAGUUGCCAUCAUUCAGUUGGGCACUCUAAGGGGACUGCCGGUGAUAAGCCGCGAGGAAGGUGGGGAUGACGUCAAGUCCUCAUGGCCCUUACGGGCUGGGCUACACACGUGCUACAAUGGCGGUGACAAUGGGACGCAAUGGAGCAAUCCUGCGCAAAUCUCAAAAAGCCGUCUCAGUUCGGAUUGGGCUCUGCAACUCGAGCCCAUGAAGUUGGAAUCGCUAGUAAUCGCAGAUCAGCACGCUGCGGUGAAUACGUUCCCGGGUCUUGUACACACCG
Molecule: ribosomal RNA, 437 nt
Filed under: uncultured bacterium
Lineage: Bacteria
Description: bacterial SSU rRNA
Rfam family: Bacterial small subunit ribosomal RNA
Source: RNAcentral